UACGAAGGGUGCGAGCGUUGCUCGGAAUUACUGGGCGGAAAGCGUACGCAGGCGGUCUGCCAAGUCAGGCGUGAAAGACCGGGGCUCAACCCCGGGAAGUCGUCUGAAACUGGAAGACUUGAGUACGGGAGAGGGGUGUGGAAUUCCCAGUGUAGAAGUGAAAUUCGUAGAUAUUGGGAGGAACACCAGUGGCGAAGGCGGCGAUCUGGGCUGAUACUGACGCUGAGGUGCGAAAGCGUGGGGAGCAAACAGG
RNAcentral lists this ribosomal RNA (253 nucleotides) under uncultured bacterium. Its description in RNAcentral is "partial 16S ribosomal RNA". It matches the Rfam family "Bacterial small subunit ribosomal RNA", at positions 524 to 776 of the family's 1533-position model. The record is from RNAcentral.